ACAAUUAGCUGUUGGGACACUAGAUGUCUUAGUAGCGAAGCUAACGCGUGAAAUUGUCCGCCUGGGGAGUACGGUCGCAAGAUUAAAACUCAAAGGAAUUGACGGGGACCCGCACAAGCGGUGGAUGAUGUGGAUUAAUUCGAUGCAACGCGAAGAACCUUACCUGGUCUUGACAUGUACGGAAUCUCUUAGAGAUAGGAGAGUGCCUUCGGGAGCCGUAACACAGGUGCUGCAUGGCUGUCGUCAGCUCGUGUCGUGAGAUGUUGGGUUAAGUCCCGCAACGAGCGUAACCCUUGUCAUUAGUUGCCAUCAUUAAGUUGGGCACUCUAAUGAGACUGCCGGUGAUAUGCCGGAGGAAGGUGGGGAUGACGUCAAGUCCUCAUGGCCCUUAUGACCAGGGCUUCACACGUCAUACAAUGGUCGGUACAGAGGGUAGCGAAGCCGCGAGGUGAAGCCAAUCUCAGAAAGCCGAUCGUAGUCCGGAUUGCACUCUGCAACUCGAGUGCAUGAAGUCGGAAUCGCUAGUAAUUGCAGGUCAGCAUACUGCGGUGAAUACGUUCCCGGGUCU
RNAcentral lists this ribosomal RNA (568 nucleotides) under uncultured Neisseriaceae bacterium. RNAcentral's name for it is "bacterial SSU rRNA". It matches the Rfam family "Bacterial small subunit ribosomal RNA", at positions 812 to 1381 of the family's 1533-position model. The record is from RNAcentral. Lineage: Bacteria; Pseudomonadati; Pseudomonadota; Betaproteobacteria; Neisseriales; Neisseriaceae.